AUCCAACUCGGAAAUUAGUUGCCUUAACUCAAAUAACUAAUUAACAAAGAAACUUAUAUGUCAUGGAAGUUGCCGUAACUCACAAAUGUGUUUUGCAUGUCUGUUUUAAGUCAAUGUUGAGAAAAAUUGAGCUUGAAAGUCUGGAAAAAUAAAAUAUGUACGUAAAUUGCAGCAACGUCUUUGCCAAGUUGACGCAACUUUUUUGAAAUAUGACUGAGCAUGCUCAGUAGGAGGCAACGUCCAAGAGGUCAGAAGAGCAAUGAAUCCACCGCAGCGCCAUUGCAAUCCACACCUCUUGUAACUUCGUUGUGAAUGGUGAUGCAGUGCAAAUUCUGUACAUUUUCACACCACAGCACAGAGACUCUUCUGAGACACCACAGAAUUCACCACGGUCAUAUGAGAACAACUGAGCAGCACAACAACCUGCUGGCAAAUAUCGACGGCAGC
Molecule: long non-coding RNA, 447 nt
Organism: Neoarius graeffei (lesser salmon catfish)
Lineage: Eukaryota; Metazoa; Chordata; Actinopteri; Siluriformes; Ariidae
Exons: 3
Source: RefSeq, a predicted model, not a curated record